GUGUCAGCAGCCGCGGUAAAACGUAGGUCCCGAGCGUUAUCCGGAUUUACUGGGCGUAAAGCGCGUUCAGGCGGCCGCGCAAGUCGGGCAUGAAAUCUCUCGGCUCAACCGGGAGGGGUUGUCCGAUACUGUGCGGCUGGAGGGCAGUAGAGGGUGGUGGAAUUCCGGGUGUAGUGGUGAAAUGCGUAGAGAUCCGGAGGAACACCAGUGGCGAAAGCGGCCACCUGGACUGUACCUGACGCUGCAACGCGAAAGCUAGGGGAGCGAACGGGAUUAGAUACCCCGGUAGUCC
Molecule: ribosomal RNA, 292 nt
Filed under: uncultured bacterium
Lineage: Bacteria
Description: partial 16S ribosomal RNA
Rfam family: Bacterial small subunit ribosomal RNA
Source: RNAcentral